CCUACGGGGGGCAGCAGUGGGGAAUAUUGGGCAAUGGGCGCAAGCCUGACCCAGCAACGCCGCGUGAAGGAAGAAGGCUUUCGGGUUGUAAACUUCUUUUGUCAGGGAAGAGUAGAAGACGGUACCUGACGAAUAAGCCACGGCUAACUACGGGCCAGCAGCCGCGGUAAUACGUAGGUGGCAAGCGUUGUCCGGAUUGACUGGGUGUAAAGGGCGUGUAGCCGGGUUGACAAGUCAGAUGUGAAAUCCUGCGGCUUAACCGCAGAACUGCAUUUGAAACUGUUGAUCUUGAGUACUGGAGAGGCAGCUGGAAUUCCUAGUGUAGCGGUGAAAUGCGUAGAUAUUAGGAGGAACACCAGUGGCGAAGGCGGUCUGCUGGACAGCAACUGACGGUGAGGCGCGAACGCGUGGGGAGCAAACAGGAUUAGAUACCCCUGUAGUC
RNAcentral lists this ribosomal RNA (442 nucleotides) under uncultured bacterium. RNAcentral's name for it is "partial 16S ribosomal RNA". It matches the Rfam family "Bacterial small subunit ribosomal RNA", at positions 338 to 795 of the family's 1533-position model. The record is from RNAcentral.